GACGAACGCUGGCGGCGUGCCUAAUACAUGCAAGUUGAGCGCUGAAGGUUGGUACUUGUACCAACUGGAUGAGCAGCGAACGGGUGAGUAACGCGUGGGGAAUCUGCCUUUGAGCGGGGGACAACAUUUGGAAACGAAUGCUAAUACCGCAUAAAAACUUUAAACACAAGUUUUAAGUUUGAAAGAUGCAAUUGCAUCACUCAAAGAUGAUCCCGCGUUGUAUUAGCUAGUUGGUGAGGUAAAGGCUCACCAAGGCGAUGAUACAUAGCCGACCUGAGAGGUGAUCGGCCACAUUGGGAAUGAGACACGGCCCAAACUCCUACGGGAGGCAGCAGUAGGGGAUCUUCGGCAAUGGACGAAAGUCUGACCGAGCAACGCCGCGUGAGUGAAGAAGGGUUUCGGAUCGUAAAACUCUGUUGGUAGAGAAGAACGUUGGUGAGAGUGGAAAGCUCAUCAAGUGACGGUAACUACCCAGAAAGGGACGGCUAACUACGUG
RNAcentral lists this ribosomal RNA (496 nucleotides) under uncultured bacterium. Its description in RNAcentral is "partial 16S ribosomal RNA". It matches the Rfam family "Bacterial small subunit ribosomal RNA", at positions 28 to 507 of the family's 1533-position model. The record is from RNAcentral.